AGGGCACAGCUCAGUGGCAGAGUGCAUGCCUAGCAUGCAUGAGGUCCUGGAUUCAAGUCUCAGUACCUCUA
RNAcentral lists this transfer RNA (71 nucleotides) under Camelus bactrianus (Bactrian camel). It matches the Rfam family "tRNA". Rfam says of the family: Transfer RNA (tRNA) molecules are approximately 80 nucleotides in length. Lineage: Eukaryota; Metazoa; Chordata; Mammalia; Artiodactyla; Camelidae. RNAcentral also lists the same sequence under 3 other names. The record is from Rfam by way of RNAcentral.